UGGGGAAUAUUGCACAAUGGGGGAAACCCUGAUGCAGCGACGCCGCGUGAGCGAAGAAGGCUUUCGAAUCGUAAAGCUCUGUCCUAUGGGAAGAUAAUGACGGUACCAUAGGAGGAAGCCCCGGCUAACUACGUGCCAGCAGCCGCGGUAAUACGUAGGGGGCGAGCGUUGUCCGGAAUUACUGGGCGUAAAGGGUUCGCAGGCGGCAUGGCAAGUCCGAUGUAAAAGGCGAAGGCUCAACCUUCGUAAGCAUCGGAAACUGUCAAGCUUGAGUGAAGGAGAGGCAAGUGGAAUUCCUAGUGUAGCGGUGGAAUGCGUAGAUAUUAGGAGGAAUACCGGUGGCGAAGGCGACUUGCUGGACUUCAACUGACGCUGAGGAACGAAAGCGUGGGUAGCAAACAGG
Molecule: ribosomal RNA, 403 nt
Filed under: Verrucomicrobiota bacterium
Lineage: Bacteria; Pseudomonadati; Verrucomicrobiota
Description: Verrucomicrobia bacterium partial 16S ribosomal RNA
Rfam family: Bacterial small subunit ribosomal RNA
Source: RNAcentral